This is a non-coding RNA of Lonchura striata (white-rumped munia), 6474 nucleotides long. NCBI's taxonomy places the organism in Eukaryota, Metazoa, Chordata, Aves, Passeriformes, Estrildidae. The record is from RefSeq and is a predicted model, not a curated record.
UAAAGGUUAGGCAAAAAGCUUUAUCAUGAUUGGACUGUGCCUGACUUAAACCCAUGUGUUUGUGCUUUGUAAUGUGUUUUUUAAACACAUUCAGCAUGCAUGCAAACUUAUUACAUUUUGUGAUGUUAACCAUGCUUAUUUUUGACAAUUACCUGUAUUAUACAGCAAUUCUUUUCUUUGAAAAAAAAGUCAAAGAGAAAACCUCAGUGUUAUAUGGGGCAGAUUGGGCCUUGGAAAUCAUUUUUCGACAGUGUUAUGUUCUUGGUGACAGUAUCUUUCUUUGAUUUUAUAUUUGUUUCCACAUACAUUUACUAAUAUGAAGCAUUUCUUGUUUUGCAAUGGCACUGUCCGUAGUUACCAAUUAAUUCUUCCAUUUUUUCAGAAGAACAAUGUGGCUUAAAAGAGUACCCAUUGAAUUGGAUGCUGUGAAAUUUAAAAUUUUAAUCUCGGUUUAGUACUUAAAUAUUUGGCUUUGGGGAACCAUCCUGUGCCUCUGUUCUUUGAAGUGGAAUGUAAAGUGGGCAUAAAAAUACAUACAUCAAAGAGGUCUAUGAAAAUUCAUGUUUUUAAUAUCUUUAAAUUUUGAGUUAUAAUGAUAUGAAAUUUAAAUAUUAGUAUUCAUCACUGCAGAAUGCAGUGAACAAAGCUAUAAUUAAUUUUACAAAAAUGACUGUUCAACAGAUGAGCCAUACAUAUCUUAAUUAACUGCAGUGCUUAUAUGUAAUUAGGUCUCUAGGAUGCCUUUUUUUAAAGUACUUUUCACAGAACAAUGGGAUAGGCAAUUUUAUAUUAAAUAUUCAGUAUAGGCAGGAUAAAAGAAUGGCAGUUGUUUUAACACCUCUCAUAAAUAUAAAGUUAUGUAGCUAUUGAAAUACAUUUGUACAUUUGCACGACACAUUCUGUUCCAUCCCUCUAGGCUGAUUUCUAUGACUUUAUUUCAUAAUAGUUCAUAAAAGGUAGUCCGUUUAGUUGAAAGACUAGUCCAGUUACAAAUUCAGCAGUCUGUAAAAAGGUUGGAUGUAUGAUAUCUUAAAGUCUAUUAAAAGUCCAUUAAUGUCUGAUCUUGCUAAUUUCAAGUCUGUAACAGAGAACCUGAGUGACAGACAGAAGUCAAAUGUUUGGGGCUUUUUUUUUUUCCCUCUAAAAAAUUAAUAAAUUCUAAGGGUAAAAAUUACCAAUAUUUUCAUUCAGAAUUACAGACAUAGACCCUAGUGUUUCAUAGCUGAAAAUGUAUUGUCUUGUUUCUGUCUUCAUCCCCAUAGUCAGAAAAGUCCGCAAAAUCUUCCUAUGAAGUAGUAGUCUGAAUUUUAGGCAAGAUGAUUAACAGCUUCAUUUCUUUCCUCAAAAAUGGUUUGGUUCUUGCUUUUGUCAUUUGAUACUUACACAGGAGUAUAUGUUGUAUGAUCUGAAAGAUGCACCAUGCAGCAAGAUCAAGAACAGGACUAGAAUCUGUCACAGACUAAAAUAUCUUGCAAAGUCAUUCUCCAGUCAUGCUUUGUUAUGCCUCUUAUCUGAGAGAUGAAUUUUAAGAGGGGUAUUAAGAGAGGAUUUUGGAUUUUGCUUGCAGGUUUAUCUUCUCUGAUAAGGGAUGAUGAUGGGAAAAGUAAAUUAUUUUUUGGAAAUUGUGCAGUCAAAGCCAAUAUUAUUAUGACAAAAGCAGGAGCAGUCAUGUGAUAACAGAAGCAUUAGGUCUAAACUUUUAAGGGUUAUAUCAAUGAAAAUGGAAGUUAAUGGGAAGAUAAAAGAGAAAUUGAUUCAAUUAAGUAAUGAAGCAGGAAGAUAAUUUCAUGUGGAUCAGUAUGAGAAAAUAAGACUUGUAGGCAUUGAAGCCAAAGAAGAUAUUAUCAAUGAGCAAGAUACUUAGAUUUUUGUUGGUCAUUUUAGAGGUGAUUUGCAGGAAGAGACAAUGUAAUUUAGUGUCCAGCCUAAUUAUGAGAGCUAAAGUGUGACACAAAGAUGUAACCAAUAUUAUGGAUUAGAGUAUCAGAGAGGACAGUGAUGCUCAUAGGUCUGUUCAUGUAGUAAAGAGGAAACUUCAGCACAGAAAAAAAGUUGAGUUCAUUUGGCGAUGUUAAGUUCCUAUUUGGACAAUCCUGAAUAGACUUUAGAAAGACAGGAUUACUACUCUAACUUGGAUGGAUGAAAUCCAAGUUAAAGAUGUGUAUUUAUGAAUCACUAGGGAGAUAUAUAUAUAUAAUUAUUGCCAUGUUUAUACCAUUUGAAGAAUCUCUUCAAAUACUGGGUCACAGAAAGAAAGUGUUGAUAUUUCAGUCUGAGUUGUCCUGCAACUGAACAGGGAAAGGGAAAAAAAGAAUGAACAUGUAAGAGGAAAGAAGCAAUAUGUUGGAGAAGAGGCUUUCUAGAGGAAAGACAUAAACAAUGUCAAGGACAUCCAAUAUGCAAUGUACAGUGGUGGAAUAAAUGUUCUGAAUUUUAGCCAAUAAAUCUAUAGAUAGUUUGAUACUGGUUGCAUAUGUAAAGUAGACUCAAAUGUACUCAAAGUGGACUUAGAGCAUUAAGGCAGCACAUUCUAUGGUUUGGGAGGUGAAAGUGGGAAAGGGAAGCAAGGAGGGAAGAAAUGUAACCAGUUCUAGGCAUACACAGUGGAAGAGAUUGGAACAUAAUUGUCCAAUCAGGGAAGAAGUUUGUGGAAAUAAGAAGAAAAAAUGAGCAUAACUGCAGAGCUGGGGAUUACAUUCAGGUGUUGAUGACUGGUUCCAUUUGCUGUAACAUCCACAGCCACCUCCCUUUGUAGCAAGAUUAUAUGACAAGCUAAAUAAAAUAAACUCUCUGUGCUGUACUGCAGAAUUAUGAGGAUGCUUGGUUGUUGUUUGGUUGGUUUUCUUCUUCAGUUGAAAUCAAGUUGUAAUGUUAUUGCCUGAUUUUGGAUAACAUGCAUUCAAAUAUUAAAAGAAGUAAAUUUAUUGCAUCUAGAGGCAUAAUAUCUGCAGCAGAAUAUAAAAAUACCACAAUGAUGCGAAAGGAAUUUGCAUCGCCUACUAGAAAUUCGUACCAUCUGUUGGCAGAAGAGGAAAAUAGUCUCUGUGAAGCAUCCAAAAUGUUGUCAAAUCCAAAGGAUGUUGAUACAUUGCAAAAUAAUUUUCAUAAUGAAGACUUUUCAGUGAGAAGUUCUUGUUCCUCCCUCAGGCCAAUCCCUUGAGAGGGGUGAGCAGAAGUAAUGUUGGUCUGACAGGAGGAUACAGAAAACUGUGUGCUGUGAGUCAUUGUGUAUCAGUAAUUUUCAUUUUAAUUCACACCUAAGCUCAUAUAGGUUGAGUUUAAGUCAAUAGCUAUAUUCUGAAUGAAUUAAUUUUCAAAGAAUGCAUGCAUAGAUAUAUUUAUAGUUAUAUGAAAAUAAAGAAAACAUGGUAUGAUAAUUCAGUGUGAAGUUGAGAGAUUGAGGUAACACUGAGCUUACUUAAUUUCUUGGCUUGUGACUAUUUAUGGUAAUUUAUUUAUAAUAAAUUUAUUUAUAAGCAAAGAUAUGAUGGCUUUGGGUGCUUUAGAGUAAAUGAUAGUUUGAAUCUCAAACAUAUAUAUAGAAAUCUCAAAUUUCAAGCAUAAUUUUAAAUUAUGGGCUCAUUAAAGUUGUUACCUCAUACUAGUAGGGAUUUUGAUCCUUGAAUAAAAAGGAAAUGAAAAUCACACUAAACUUAGAAAAGUAUCCAUGGGCCACAUCUUUAAAAAUGUUUUAAUGCCUUAUGUGAUAUAUUUACGUCUUUCCCUAUUUACACAUUUAUAAUUUGCUCAAACCAAAGCAAAUUUCUUUAUAAUGUCCAUGAGUAUAUCUUCUCUCAGGUGGUUGUUCACAUUGCCAGUCUCAGGUUUUUGCCUUUAUUCUUACUGCUAUAUUCAUCUUGCUUAAUAUUUGCUGGGGUGGUGGUUUGCAGGGACUAAAUAUAGCUAAAAUAUCUUGGGGCAUAAACUGCCUGUAAAAUUCAAAAUGGAAAGUGAAAAUAUUUUUUAAUCUAACUUCAGUAGCUGUUGUAGUCUCAGACAUUUGAGGGAAGCUGAGGUUCAUGGAUCUAUUUAUACAUGGUUAAUUAUUGAAAAGAUUUAGUUUUGUUUCCUUAAAAAGUAAAUGAGAGUAAAAAAUGAGCAGUAGUACAAGGAAAAGCUUGAGAGUGCAUUUUCUUAUCUCAAAGGGAAACAUUUAGUGGAAUUAUAGGUAACAUAUAAAAAUUGACAAAUAUGUGUUUAUCCUUUUCUGUGAAUGAUGAUUGAACAAUUAAUUGCCUUACAAUAUCUUCAGAAUUUAGAAUUUAGCAAGAUUAAAAGAGACUUGGGAUAAAUGGGAGUAUAAUGAGCAGAAGUCAUUAUAAUAUUUCAAAGCAAUAAAGAUUUAUGGCAGGAGAAAAUCUGCAAGUGGAAGUGCUUAAGCAAAUCCAAGUGAGAUUAAGGCAAUGCUGUUGUGCAGGGCACAUGGUAUCACUUACAUUUUACACAGGGAUAUGUUGCACUUCUUCUUUAAAGGAAUCUGUAGGUGGUCAUUGCUAGGGGUGGCAGUGGCUUGACAGCAAGUCAAGGUUUGUAGAGAAGUUCAUGUGUUCAACAUUCUUAAAUAGCAUAACAUGAAAUGUAUCUUUAAUGUUUUAUGUUGCAAAUUGUGCAAAACAUGAAGAAGUCAUGGUUUUCUUACUGUGGUUGCUCUUGGGUGGUGCAGUUUGGUGAUUCUCCUGUUUAAGUCCAUAGCAUCAUAAUUUAUAUUGAGAUGGAAUACUGUUUUUAUUAAUUCCAUAGUAAACCCCAAACUAUUUAGAAGCAAAGUCUGUCCAGGGAUUUAAUAUUGUAUCCAACAUCAGUGCUAAAUAUACAAUGUUUAGAACAUCUUAGACAAGGUGUUAAAACUUACCUAUCUUGAAUAAUGCAUUUACAAAAUAAACAGUAUGAGUUUUAUUUAUCCAAGGGCUCUGAUGCUAUGCAAAAUGGCUCCCACUGCACCUUGCAGACAGUUCUGCAGCAAAAAUCAAUUCUGUCCCAAAUCUCUAGGUACAUACAGAAAUCUUGGGUUCAAGUGGAAAUAAGAUCUGCCGUACUAGAGAGGCUUCCCAAAUUAUUAGAGUUCCUGAAUAUUCUCAGAACAUCAAAAGUGACUGAACUUGCAAUUGAUUGAAAUAUAAGUUUUUCUCACAGAUUCUAAGUGAAAUGAAAGAAAAAUUCAAGUAAAUUUUUCAAAAUAAAAAAAAAAUCUUUGGUUUUCAACAAUAGUGUCUAGUUUGGAAGAUCUUGUUUCUUAAGUCAGCAGCAAGUAUGUUGUUAAUACUGACUUAACAGAUUAAAUCAGUACUUCUGGUUUUCCAAAGGGCUCUCAGCAUUAUUCCUGUACUCCUGCAUCUUCAUUAGUGGUAGGAGGUUUUUUUGUUCUUCUGACUGGAGCUCAGGAUCCUCUCCAGUUUUUUAUAGCAGUUCAAAAAUACAUUGUAAUAAAGUUGUCAGUACCUACUUUAAGAUUCCACUGGUUUUGAUACUAAGAAAACAGGACUGGUGACUAAGCAGCAGAAUUUUCCAAAAUAAGAGUGUAUAUGAAGUUUAGUGGUGAGGGUCUCUGGGCCUGAGGGUGCAGAAGUAAUAAAAAUUAUAACAUUUUCUCUUACAGGAGCCAGAGUGCCCAUUUAAAGCAUCCUGAAAGGUUCUUGUAGGAUGUUUGAUUCUCAGGGUGCAGCACAAGCAGAGUGUGUAAAUCCAAUAUCAGUAUGACAGAAAUGUACCAGACUGUGGCUCUGACCUGAGUGCUGUGGGUCCACCUAGCUGGCAUGUGAAUGUCUGGGCAGGGUUGCCUGUCAGUCCCAGGUAGCCAGUGGUAUGGAGUGCCAGAGCUCCUAGAACAAGGGGAGCCACAGGGCAUUACAGAUACAUAGAAAGGGUGUGUUUAAAUAGAUAUGGCCAUGCCCAGUUAGCCCAUGGUAAAAGAGAGAGUGAGCUCAGACUUUCCUUCCCCACUAUGUCAAAGGCAUAUUUGAACUUGAACAUUCAAUCUGUGCCAAAGAUGGAUCUUAGUUUGCUCACAGAAACAAGCUCGAGUUUGUGCAUUACAGACUAGGAUUGCUUUCCUUGGUGCUGUCUUCCAUGUAGGUGAAGUUCCUGACAAAUAUAUAUAAACCACAUAUAAAGUAUUUUGUCAAAAAAUUCAGUGUUACAUUCAGCCAGCAUUAUCAAUGCUUCUGUGUCCUUUAAAAUGACCUAUCUUGUGUGAAUUCAUGAAAAUUCUAAUAUUGCACAGUAGCAGUAAUCUUACUUUUUUUCUUCCCCUCUUUUAAGAUUUCUUCCCUGCAUUAUGGAGCAGUUGAAAGCACAGAGUUCAUUCCAUAUCAGAUUGACAGGGAUGAAUGAGUUUGAGUCAUAUCACAGACUUUUAAAUUUUAAACUAUAGAUACUUGUUUUCUUUUGUUAGGUACAGUCACUCUUUUCUAUCCCGAGGCACUCGGAAAACAAAUCUGAGUUAACAAGAGGUGUGAUUUUUUUUUUUUUUUUUAA